RNAcentral lists this long non-coding RNA (207 nucleotides) under Setaria italica (foxtail millet). RNAcentral's name for it is "long non-coding RNA (SITA_LNC006568)". The record is from RNAcentral. Lineage: Eukaryota; Viridiplantae; Streptophyta; Magnoliopsida; Poales; Poaceae.
GCGGCCUAGCUAGGGUAAGUGGGAAGAAGGGAAUUCAAAGCUGAUUGUUAUUUGGUAGAGCUCCACGUCAAAUGUAUACAAUUUGCUCUGUGUUUAUGGAUUUCCUAUGCGCCCAUUAUGGCUCUAUUGCACCUGUAGCAAUGCGGCCUCCAUGAGCUGCUUCCUGUAACAAAUUGGGGGGAGGCGAGAGCCGAUGAAACGAGCGGG